UGUAUGAGGGUAAACCCGGGGAACUGAAACAUCUAAGUACCCGGAGGAAGAGAAAGAAAAAUCGAUUUCCUAAGUAGCGGCGAGCGAACGGGAAAGAGCCCAAACCAGAAACUUGUUUCUGGGGUUGCGGAUAGAUCAUAAAAGAAGAGGUAUCUUAAUCGAAGAGGGCUGGAACGCCCUACCAUAGAAGGUAAUAGUCCUGUAGGUAAAAAGAGAAAACUUCGAGAUCUAAUCCAGAGUACCACGAGACACGUG
Molecule: ribosomal RNA, 255 nt
Filed under: Clostridium sporogenes
Lineage: Bacteria; Bacillati; Bacillota; Clostridia; Eubacteriales; Clostridiaceae
Description: partial 23S ribosomal RNA
Rfam family: Bacterial large subunit ribosomal RNA
Source: RNAcentral